CCUACGGGGGGCAGCAGUGGGGGAUAUUGGACAAUGGGGGAAACCCUGAUCCAGCGACGCCGCGUGAGUGAAGAAGUAUUUCGGUAUGUAAAGCUCUGUCAGCAGGGAAGAAAGAAAUGACGGUACCUGACCAAGAAGCCCCGGCUAACUACGUGCCAGCAACCGCGGUAAUACGUAGGGGGCAAGCUUUAUCCGGAAUUACUGGGUGUAAAGGGAGAGUAGACGGUGAUGCAAGUCUGGAGUGAAAGGCGGGGGCCCAACCCUCGGACUGCUCUGGAAACUGUGUAAAUUGAGUGCAGGAGAGGUAAGCGGAAUUCCUAGUGUAGCGGUGAAAUGCAUAGAUAUUAGGAGGAACACCAGUGGCGAAGGCGGCUUACUGGACUGUAACUGACACUGAGGCUCGAAAGCGUGGGGAGCAAACAGGAUUAGAUACCCUUGUAGUC
This 443-nucleotide ribosomal RNA is filed under the name uncultured bacterium. RNAcentral describes it as "partial 16S ribosomal RNA". It matches the Rfam family "Bacterial small subunit ribosomal RNA", at positions 338 to 795 of the family's 1533-position model. The record is from RNAcentral.